GCGGAUGGCCGGACGAUCGCACCCCUCGGGGUGAGGAAAGUCCGGACUCCGGGAAGGCAUGGCGCCGGGUAACGCCCGGCCGGGGCAACCCGAGGGACAGCGCCACAGAAAACAGACCGCCGCCGGUGCGCCGGAGGCAAGGGUGAAACGGUGGGGUAAGAGCCCACCGCGGGACUGGCAACAGGACCGGCACGGCAAGCCCCGCCAGGAGCAAUGCCAAAUAGGGACCGCGCGGGCCUUCGGGCCCAGGCCGCUUCCAGCCAGCGGUCCGGGUUGGCAGCAAGAGCGCAUCGGCAACGGUGCGCCCAGAUGAAUGAUCGUCGGCGGACAUAUGUCCGGCCACAGAAUCCGGCUUACAGGCCAUCCGCACAC
This 372-nucleotide RNase P RNA is filed under the name Oceanomicrobium pacificus. Its description in RNAcentral is "Bacterial RNase P class A". It matches the Rfam family "Bacterial RNase P class A". Rfam says of the family: Ribonuclease P (RNase P) is a ubiquitous endoribonuclease, found in archaea, bacteria and eukarya as well as chloroplasts and mitochondria. Its best characterised activity is the generation of mature 5'-ends of tRNAs by cleaving the 5'-leader elements of precursor-tRNAs. Lineage: Bacteria; Pseudomonadati; Pseudomonadota; Alphaproteobacteria; Rhodobacterales; Paracoccaceae. The record is from Rfam by way of RNAcentral.